CGCCUCCGGUCGAGCUCGACACUCAACGCGGCGUCAGGCUCACGUGGGAGUCCUUGUUUCUACGUCUGUCCACCAGGAACGCCACCCGCCCCGCUGGAGACCCCGCGUCCUAAGGAGCGGGGCCGGAGACCCUGUGUGUCGUUUGCUCGAGAGUUUCUGAGGUCCCCCAGCGGGAUGGACACACCCUUUUAUGCCAUAUCCUCUCUUCUGGCAGCCAUGCCAAGUCAGCUUGGGCUGCAUUCUCCAAAAGCAUCUCUUCCUCAUUACCAGGAUUGGACUCCAGCUUCCUAAGCCUCAGUUCUACCCAGUGUUCAAGAGGGAGACCAAGGAAGACGGCAGAGCAGGAAGCCCAGGAACCUGUCCCUCCUCUGGACAACAGUUGAACUAAAACAAACAGUCUUCAACCAACCAAGAAUCAAAUACAGCAUUUAGGAAAAAAAUGUACUGAACAUGAACACACUUUUUUUCUUGUCAUCAUUCCCUAAACAAUACAGAAUAACAAUUUACAUAGCUUGGACAUUGUAUUAGUUAUGAUAAGU
Long non-coding RNA from Heterocephalus glaber (naked mole-rat), 539 nucleotides. RefSeq lists it as uncharacterized. NCBI's taxonomy places the organism in Eukaryota, Metazoa, Chordata, Mammalia, Rodentia, Bathyergidae. The record is from RefSeq and is a predicted model, not a curated record.